UGGGUUUGACAUGUAGGGAAAAGCUGCAGAGAUGCCAGUGUCCUUUUAGGGCCCUUCAC
RNAcentral lists this ribosomal RNA (59 nucleotides) under uncultured organism. RNAcentral's name for it is "partial 16S ribosomal RNA". The record is from RNAcentral.